Molecule: ribosomal RNA, 3122 nt
Filed under: Acinetobacter baumannii
Lineage: Bacteria; Pseudomonadati; Pseudomonadota; Gammaproteobacteria; Moraxellales; Moraxellaceae
Description: 23S ribosomal RNA
Rfam family: Bacterial large subunit ribosomal RNA
Source: RNAcentral
GUUGUAUAGUCAAGUAAUUAAGUGCAUGUGGUGGAUGCCUUGGCAGUCAGAGGCGAUGAAAGACGUGAUAGCCUGCGAAAAGCUCCGGGGAGGCGGCAAAUAUCCUUUGAUCCGGAGAUGUCUGAAUGGGGGAACCCACCUACUUUAAGGUAGGUAUUGCAACAUGAAUACAUAGUGUUGCAAGGCGAACGAGGGGAAGUGAAACAUCUCAGUACCCUUAGGAAAAGAAAUCAAUUGAGAUUCCCUCAGUAGCGGCGAGCGAACGGGGAUCAGCCCAUUAAGUUAUGUGUGUUUUAGUGGAACGCUCUGGGAAGUGCGAACGUAGAGGGUGAUAUUCCCGUACACGAAAGGGCACACAUAAUGAUGACGAGUAGGGCGAGGCACGUGAAACCUUGUCUGAAUAUGGGGGGACCAUCCUCCAAGGCUAAAUACUCCUGACUGACCGAUAGUGAACCAGUACCGUGAGGGAAAGGCGAAAAGAACCCCUGUGAGGGGAGUGAAAUAGAUCCUGAAACCGCAUGCAUACAAGCAGUGGGAGCACCUUCGUGGUGUGACUGCGUACCUUUUGUAUAAUGGGUCAGCGACUUAUAUUCAGUAGCGAGGUUAACCGUAUAGGGGAGCCGUAGAGAAAUCGAGUCUUAAUAGGGCGUUUAGUUGCUGGGUAUAGACCCGAAACCAGGCGAUCUAUCCAUGAGCAGGUUGAAGGUUGGGUAACACUAACUGGAGGACCGAACCCACUGUCGUUGAAAAGCCAGGGGAUGACUUGUGGAUAGGGGUGAAAGGCUAAUCAAGCCUGGUGAUAGCUGGUUCUCCCCGAAAGCUAUUUAGGUAGCGCCUCGGACGAAUACCAUAGGGGGUAGAGCACUGUUUCGGCUAGGGGGUCAUCCCGACUUACCAAACCGAUGCAAACUCCGAAUACCUAUGAGUACUAUCCGGGAGACAGACUGCGGGUGCUAACGUCCGUAGUCAAGAGGAAAACAAUCCAGACCGCCAGCUAAGGCCCCAAAAUCAUAGUUAAGUGGGAAACGAUGUGGGAAGGCAUAGACAGCUAGGAGGUUGGCUUANNNNNNNNNNNNNNNNNNNNNNNNNNNNNNNNNNNNNNNNNNGAAGCAGCCACCCUUUAAAGAAAGCGUAAUAGCUCACUAGUCGAGUCGGCCUGCGCGGAAGAUGUAACGGGGCUAAAACUAUGUGCCGAAGCUGCGGAUUUGACAUUAGUCAAGUGGUAGGGGAGCGUUCUGUAAGCCGAUGAAGGUGUAUUGAGAAGUNGAAGCAGCCACCCUUUAAAGAAAGCGUAAUAGCUCACUAGUCGAGUCGGCCUGCGCGGAAGAUGUAACGGGGCUAAAACUAUGUGCCGAAGCUGCGGAUGUAUACUUUGUAUACGUGGUAGGGGAGCGUUCUGUAAGCCGAUGAAGGUGUGUUGAGAAGCNNAUGCUGGAGGUAUCAGAAGUGCGAAUGCUGACGUGAGUAACGACAAAACGGGUGAAAAACCCGUUCGCCGAAAGACCAAGGGUUCCAGUCCAACGUUAAUCGGGGCUGGGUGAGUCGACCCCUAAGGCGAGGCCGAAAGGCGUAGUCGAUGGGAAAAUGGUUAAUAUUCCAUUACUUCUGUGUAAUGCGAUGAGAGGACGGAGAAGGCUAAAUCAGCCUGGCGUUGGUUGUCCAGGUGAAAGGAUGUAGGCAUGUAUCUUAGGCAAAUCCGGGGUACUCUAUGCUGAGAUCUGAUAGCAAGCUGUACUUGUACAGCGAAGUGGUUGAUGCCAUGCUUCCAGGAAAAGUCUCUAAGCUUCAGUUACACAGGAAUCGUACCCGAAACCGACACAGGUGGUCAGGUCGAGUAGACCAAGGCGCUUGAGAGAACUCUGCUGAAGGAACUAGGCAAAAUGGUACCGUAACUUCGGGAGAAGGUACGCUGUUGUUGGUGAUGGAACUCGCUUCCUGAGCUGACGACAGCCGCAGAAACCAGGCCGCUGCAACUGUUUAUUAAAAACAUAGCACUCUGCAAACACGAAAGUGGACGUAUAGGGUGUGAUGCCUGCCCGGUGCUGGAAGGUUAAUUGAUGGGGUUAGCGUAAGCGAAGCUCUUGAUCGAAGCCCCAGUAAACGGCGGCCGUAACUAUAACGGUCCUAAGGUAGCGAAAUUCCUUGUCGGGUAAGUUCCGACCUGCACGAAUGGCAUAAUGAUGGCGGCGCUGUCUCCAGCAGAGGCUCAGUGAAAUCGAAAUCGCUGUGAAGAUGCAGUGUACCCGCGGCUAGACGGAAAGACCCCGUGAACCUUUACUGCAGCUUGACACUGAACUUUGACCUUACUUGUGUAGGAUAGGUGGGAGGCUUUGAAGCUGGAACGCUAGUUCCAGUGGAGCCGUCCUUGAAAUACCACCCUGGUAAUGUUGAGGUUCUAACUCUGUCCCGUGAUCCGGGACGAGGACCGUGUCUGGUGGGUAGUUUGACUGGGGCGGUCUCCUCCUAAAGAGUAACGGAGGAGUACGAAGGUGCGCUCAGCGUGGUCGGAAAUCACGCGUAGAGUAUAAAGGCAAAAGCGCGCUUAACUGCGAGACCCACAAGUCGAGCAGGUACGAAAGUAGGUCUUAGUGAUCCGGUGGUUCUGUAUGGAAGGGCCAUCGCUCAACGGAUAAAAGGUACUCUGGGGAUAACAGGCUGAUACCGCCCAAGAGUUCAUAUCGACGGCGGUGUUUGGCACCUCGAUGUCGGCUCAUCUCAUCCUGGGGCUGAAGCAGGUCCCAAGGGUAUGGCUGUUCGCCAUUUAAAGAGGUACGCGAGCUGGGUUUAGAACGUCGUGAGACAGUUCGGUCCCUAUCUACCGUGGGCGCUGGAAAUUUGAGAGGAUCUGCUCCUAGUACGAGAGGACCAGAGUGGACGAACCUCUGGUGUACCGGUUGUGACGCCAGUCGCAUCGCCGGGUAGCUAUGUUCGGAAGGGAUAACCGCUGAAAGCAUCUAAGCGGGAAGCCUACCUCAAGAUAAGAUUUCCCUAGGACUUUAUGUCCUCUAAAGAGCCGUUCGAGACUAGGACGUUGAUAGGUUGGAUGUGGAAGCAUAGUGAUAUGUGAAGCUGACCAAUACUAAUUGCUCGUGAGGCUUGACUAUACAACACCCAAGCAGUUG